GACGAACGCUGGCGGCGUGCUUAACACAUGCAAGUCGAACGGAAAGGCCCCUUUGGGGGUACUCGAGUGGCUAACGGGUGAGUAACACGUGAGUAACCUGCCCUUGACUUCGGGAUAACUUCAGGAAACUGGGGCUAAUACCGGAUAGGAAUCCUUGCUGCAUGGUGGGGGUUGGAAAGCUUCGGCGGUUUUGGAUGGACUCGCGGGUUAUCAGCUUGUUGGUGGGGUAGUGGCUUACCAAGGCUUUGACGGGUAGCCGGCCUGAGAGGGCGACCGGCCACAUUGGGACUGAGAGACGGCCCAGACACCUACGGGAGGCAGAAGUGGGGAAUAUUGCACAAUGGGCGGAAGCCGGAUGCAGCAACGCCGCGUGCGGGAUGACGGACUUCGGGUUGUAAACCGGUUUCAGCAGGGGCGAAGCUUGUGGUGACGGUACCUGCAGAAGAAGCACCGGCUAACUACGUG
This 465-nucleotide ribosomal RNA is filed under the name uncultured bacterium. RNAcentral's name for it is "partial 16S ribosomal RNA". It matches the Rfam family "Bacterial small subunit ribosomal RNA", at positions 28 to 507 of the family's 1533-position model. The record is from RNAcentral.